Pelobates cultripes (western spadefoot toad) is the source of this 151-nucleotide non-coding RNA. NCBI's taxonomy places the organism in Eukaryota, Metazoa, Chordata, Amphibia, Anura, Pelobatidae. The record is from the annotation of a GenBank genome assembly.
GACUAGUGACAGAGAGAGAGAGGGGGUGACUAGUGACAGGGUGAGGGAGGUUGUGAUUAGUGACAGAGGGAGGGAUGAGGUGACUAGUGACAGUCACCACCUCCUUCACUCUGUCACUAGUCUCCCCCUCCCUCCCUCUGUCAUUGUGUCA